Molecule: ribosomal RNA, 468 nt
Filed under: uncultured bacterium
Lineage: Bacteria
Description: partial 16S ribosomal RNA
Rfam family: Bacterial small subunit ribosomal RNA
Source: RNAcentral
GACGAACGCUGGCGGCGUGCUUAACACAUGCAAGUCGAACGGAAAGGCACUGCUUUUGUGGGGUGCUCGAGUGGCGAACGGGUGAGUAACACGUGAGUAACCUGCCCUUGACUUUGGGAUAACUUCAGGAAACUGGGGCUCAUACCGGAUAGGAGCUCCUGCUGCAUGGUGGGGGUUGGAACGUUUCGGCGGUUGGGGAUGGACUUGCGGCUUAUCAGCUCGUUGGUGGGGUAGUGGCUUACCAAGGCUGUGACGGGUAGCCGGCAUGAGAGGGUGACCGGCCACAUUGGGACUGAGAUACGGCCCAGACGCCUACGGGAGGCAGCAGUGGGGAAUAUUGCACAAUGGGCGGGAGCCUGAUGCAGCAACGCCGCGUGCGGGAUGACGGCCUUCGGGUUGUAAACCGCUUUCGCCUGUGACGAAGCGUGAGUGACGGUAAUGGGUAAAGAAGCACCGGCUAACUACGUG